RNAcentral lists this unclassified non-coding RNA (188 nucleotides) under uncultured Kodamaea. RNAcentral's name for it is "sequence contains ITS1, 5.8S rRNA gene and ITS2". The stretch from base 142 to 188 matches the Rfam family "5.8S ribosomal RNA", at positions 1 to 47 of the family's 154-position model. The record is from RNAcentral. Lineage: Eukaryota; Fungi; Ascomycota; Pichiomycetes; Serinales; Metschnikowiaceae.
UGGAAGUUAAAAAGCGUAACAAGGUUUCUGAGUAGCUUCGUAGGUGACCUGCGGAGGAUCAUUAACAUUAAUUUACUACACACUGUUUUUUUACAACAAAACAAAUCUAUCUAAAAACAAUUCUUUACAAGAAAUUCUUAAAACUUUCAACAACGGAUCUCUUGGUUCUCGCAUCGAUGAAGAACACA